This 539-nucleotide long non-coding RNA is filed under the name Taeniopygia guttata (zebra finch). Its description in RNAcentral is "lncRNA (ENSTGUG00000020735.1)". Lineage: Eukaryota; Metazoa; Chordata; Aves; Passeriformes; Estrildidae. The record is from RNAcentral.
AAACUUGUAAAGCUUGACAGGGAGAGAGGUGAGGGAGUGAGGCAGCACGCUCUGAACAUGACGUGAUGGACUGCAGCUUGUUCAGGGGAAGGGUAUGGCCUGCUCUGCAGGACUGUCACCAAGAUAGUGAUCUUUGUCAAGAAGAGAGACCCCAAGAUCUGGAAAAAUAGCCAUCUGUGAUGCCUUCAUCCAUUUUUCAAAGAGUUGGAUCCCAGUGAUUCAACUGAGCUGAUCAUUGGCAGGCGAAUUGGAGACCCAUUUACAGAGACAACCUGGAGAUGGAGGAGGUCCAAGAACUAAGCUGGAGAAGAAAACAUGCUUAGAUAAUGUGCUGCACACUGGUGGGAGUGAUGGAGGAGAGAGCUGAGCAAAGACAGCUCAGUUUGGACACAUCUCUGAGGAGCCAGAGUAGAGCUGCCUGCAUUGGAAACGGGUGUGAUGUCUGCAGCACAGUUUUCCUGAGAGUUGUGACGCUCCUGGAAAGAAACCCUACUGGCUGCCUCUGCUGGUUCCUGCUCCAGCCCUGCUGUUACCCCUGA